CCUACGGGAGGCUGCAGUGAGGAAUAUUGGUCAAUGGGCGGAAGCCUGAACCAGCCAAGUAGCGUGCAGGAUGACGGCUCUACGGGUUGUAAACUGCUUUUAUACGGGAAUAACGCGCCUUACGUGUACGGCUUCGCAUGUACCGUAUGAAUAAGGACCGGCUAAUUCCGUGCCAGCAGCCGCGGUAAUACGGAAGGUCCGGGCGUUAUCCGGAUUUAUUGGGUUUAAAGGGGGCGUAGGCCGCAUGUCAAGCGUGCUGUGAAAUGUCCUGGCUCAACCCGGGCCUUGCAGCGCGAACUGGCGUGCUUGAGUCCGCGGAAGGCAGGCGGAAUUCGUGGUGUAGCGGUGAAAUGCUUAGAUAUGACGAAGAACCCCGAUUGCGAAGGCAGCUUGCUGCAGCGGAACUGACGCUGAUGCUCGAAAGCGCGGGGAUCGAACAGGAUUAGAUACCCGAGUAGUC
Molecule: ribosomal RNA, 460 nt
Filed under: uncultured bacterium
Lineage: Bacteria
Description: partial 16S ribosomal RNA
Rfam family: Bacterial small subunit ribosomal RNA
Source: RNAcentral